GUCUCCCUUCAGUCUGUGUGCCUUUGAACACAGCCGUGGGAAGCUGUGAUGCCUGGGCCAGGACAACUCUGGGAAUUCUGAGGGGAAAAUUACAUGAGUUGGAGAAGUUGAGCCGCUACGUCGACCGCACCUGCAACAGCCUACCUCUGGAUUUCCUGUGUGCGAGGACUCUCAUCAACAGAUGUACAUGGCACACUAAAAUCAUCCAAUACUAGUCCUGGGGUUGAAGCUCUAAACUCAGGAAGUAAAACGGGUCGUUCCUAAUCACAGUACAAAGCAGAUGACGCAAGCUGAGAUAAAACACAAAGAGAUUAAGUUCGAGAGAGCUAAAGCACCACAUAAACAGAGAUCAAAAAAACAAAAAACAGUCCCUGGAAUAGCAACUCCGUAGGAAGCCAGAGUGUGGAAGGUAUAAAAGGGAAAGAACAGUCUCCUUCCAGAUAUUGGAAUAAAGACUCUGUAUUUAAGAAGACACCGAGCAAGAACGUUAGCAGUCGCCUCCUAAAGUGGGGUCUUGCCUGCAGUCAAGAACCUACUCCCAUCUUCUCUCAACUCUGCAUUCAGGGACAUCACAUGAACCGCCCACUUGAGAAAUCAGCCACGAUGAGAGUAUUUACACCACGGAAACU
This is a long non-coding RNA of Callorhinus ursinus (northern fur seal), 629 nucleotides long. RefSeq lists it as uncharacterized. NCBI's taxonomy places the organism in Eukaryota, Metazoa, Chordata, Mammalia, Carnivora, Otariidae. The record is from RefSeq and is a predicted model, not a curated record.